Molecule: non-coding RNA, 29 nt
Filed under: Mus musculus (house mouse)
Lineage: Eukaryota; Metazoa; Chordata; Mammalia; Rodentia; Muridae
Source: RNAcentral
UGAAAAGAAGCUCUGAUGGAUCUGCCAAA